This 433-nucleotide ribosomal RNA is filed under the name uncultured bacterium. RNAcentral's name for it is "bacterial SSU rRNA". It matches the Rfam family "Bacterial small subunit ribosomal RNA", at positions 43 to 524 of the family's 1533-position model. The record is from RNAcentral.
CAGGCCUAACACAUGCAAGUCGAACGCCCCGCAAGGGGAGUGGCAGACGGGUGAGUAACACGUGGGAACGUACCCUUUGGUUCGGAAUAACCCUGGGAAACUAGGGCUAAUACCGGAUACGCCCUGAUGGGGAAAGGUUUACCGCCGAAGGAUCGGCCCGCGUCUGAUUAGCUAGUUGGUGGGGUAACGGCCUACCAAGGCGACGAUCAGUAGCUGGUCUGAGAGGAUGAUCAGCCACACUGGGACUGAGACACGGCCCAGACUCCUACGGGAGGCAGCAGUGGGGAAUAUUGGACAAUGGGCGCAAGCCUGAUCCAGCCAUGCCGCGUGAGUGAUGAAGGCCUUAGGGUUGUAAAGCUCUUUUAUCCGGGACGAUAAUGACGGUACCGGAGGAAUAAGCCCCGGCUAACUUCGUGCCAGCAGCCGCGGUAAU